UCCGAGUUGACCCCGGCAGUCUCCCAUGAAUCCCCGCCACUACGCGCUGGCAACAUGGAACGAGGGUUGCGCUCGUUGCGGGACUUAACCCAACAUCUCACGACACGAGCUGACGACAGCCAUGCACCACCUGUAUACGGCCCCGAAGGACACUACAUCUCUGCAGCUUUUCCGUAUAUUUCAAGGGUAGGCAAGGUUUUUCGCGUUGCAUCGAAUUAAUCCACAUAAUCCACCGCUUGUGCGGGUCCCCGUCAAUUCCUUUGAGUUUUAACCUUGCGGCCGUACUCCCCAGGCGGUCAACUUCACGCGUUAGCUUCGUUACCAAGGAAUUGCUUCCCCGACAACCAGUUGACAUAGUUUAGGGCGUGGACUAC
Molecule: unclassified non-coding RNA, 374 nt
Filed under: uncultured bacterium
Lineage: Bacteria
Description: contains 16S-23S intergenic spacer region
Source: RNAcentral